CAGGAGUAAUAUUCGAGUUCAGCUAAGAAUUUAUAUAUUUUUUUUCAUGUACUCGUAAUAAAGUCAUCCAAUUUAUGAGUUAUCCAUGCAGUGCAGGAGGAGUCGUUGCUUUAUGAGGCAACACGCGCCGUCAGGCUGCCAUGAGCAGCAGUGCGAGGCUGGUCAGAUGGUAACGGGAUACUGAACAGUGUUGAGGCACCUGGCGGUAACACUCCGACCUUGAAGGUGUAAGCCUUGCGCCACCUGAGGGAAGGGGAGGGAGCGGCAGUGCGGGGAAGAGGAACUAGGUGUGAGUGGGUGGCCACCAUCAAUCUCCUUCGAGCCUCUCUGUGCUGCUUCCAGCUGUCUGCUCCCCGGCAUAAGGCGCAGGUACCGCAUCCUGUCAGAAGGGCGCACGAAGCGGAGAUCUGUGCCGUCUCGAUCGUGGGGCACCACAGGCUGACUUUGAGAUCUGGCGUAUGGCGGGCAUUGAGCCAAGGCAGGAUCAGCGUGACCUCCAGCCAGGCAAACCGGCCGAAGCAAGCGGGUGUUGGGGUAAUUUCCCGCACGGACCACGAGGUUUCCAUCGAGGUGUGGCCAUCAGGAGCAGGUUGGCCAUGGACGAGCACUGUUUACAUUUUCAUAAGAAGCGAACAUAAUGUGACUUUAAUUAUUCCUACUAAUUACUGCACUGACUUUCAUUAUUAGUAUUGAACUUAGUAUUUUCAGAGGUUUCGGCGCCUGCCUCGUCCAUUACUCCAACAGGCUCCAGUGGAAGGUUAAUAUGGAGAAUAAGGAAUGCUACCUCGAAUUACAGGUCUUCAGAACGCACACCUCCCGCUAUCUCAUGAAUAACAAUCCAAUCCCACCGAGAGAUACUGGAGGCGAGGCAGGGAGGAACACAAGACAGGCAUCACGAAAAUCAAAUUAAGCACUCAUCACCAUCUUUUGCAAAGUGUGUGUGCAUGCGGCAUUCAGAUGAAACAACCUUCACGGCCAGGCAGGUGUUUCCCGCUGACCAAGCCGCUGGUCAGAAGUCCUUGGGGCGGAGAGA
Molecule: long non-coding RNA, 1033 nt
Organism: Scylla paramamosain (green mud crab)
Lineage: Eukaryota; Metazoa; Arthropoda; Malacostraca; Decapoda; Portunidae
Exons: 4
Source: RefSeq, a predicted model, not a curated record